Molecule: ribosomal RNA, 500 nt
Filed under: uncultured Glomeromycotina
Lineage: Eukaryota; Fungi; Glomeromycota
Description: partial small subunit ribosomal RNA
Rfam family: Eukaryotic small subunit ribosomal RNA
Source: RNAcentral
CCAAUAGCGUAUAUUAAAGUUGUUGCAGUUAAAAAGCUCGUAGUUGAAUUUCGGGGUUAGUAGGUUGGUCGUGCCUAUGGUAUGCACUGGCUUUACUGAUUCCUCCUUCUUGAAGAACUGUAAUGUCAUUAAUUUGGUGUUGCAGGGAAACAGGACUGUUACUUUGAAAAAAUUAGAGUGUUUAAAGCAGGCUAACGCUUGAAUACAUUAGCAUGGAAUAAUGAAAUAGGACGUUCGAUCCUAUUUUGUUGGUUUCUAGGAUUGACGUAAUGAUUAAUAGGGAUAGUUGGGGGCAUUAGUAUUCAAUUGUCAGAGGUGAAAUUCUUGGAUUUAUUGAAGACUAACUACUGCGAAAGCAUUUGCCAAGGAUGUUUUCAUUAAUCAAGAACGAAAGUUAGGGGAUCGAAGACGAUCAGAUACCGUCGUAGUCUUAACCAUAAACUAUGCCGACUAGGGAUCGGAUGAUGUUAAUUUUUUAAUGACUCAUUCGGCGCCUUACG